UACUAAAAGAAAACAAAGAAGCUUCCUCCUGUCUGGAAAUAUGAAUCUACAACUGCCAGCACUCUUGUUGCUUAAGCAGCAUUUGGGGUCGUGCAAUUUCUGGCUCAUCUGUGUCGGGUGUGGAUGCUUCGAUGGAGAUUAGAUUGUGUUUUCAUGUUCUAGUGGAGAUAUAAGACUUUUAUUUAUAGCUGUUAAAAAUUUUAUUUUGUUUGAAAGGAGAGUUGGGUACUUGUUAGCCUUUUGAUUCUAGUUGCUUUCAUUUUUGUCCAUUGGUGCCGUAUGUGACAUUUGAAGCAAGAAACCAUUACAAGUUAUGAAACCUAAA
Long non-coding RNA from Hibiscus syriacus, 325 nucleotides. RefSeq lists it as uncharacterized. The record is from RefSeq and is a predicted model, not a curated record. The transcript is spliced from 2 exons. NCBI's taxonomy places the organism in Eukaryota, Viridiplantae, Streptophyta, Magnoliopsida, Malvales, Malvaceae.